RNAcentral lists this unclassified non-coding RNA (269 nucleotides) under plant metagenome. RNAcentral's name for it is "partial contains small subunit ribosomal RNA, internal transcribed spacer 1, and 5.8S ribosomal RNA". The record is from RNAcentral.
UUUCCGUAGGUGAACCUGCGGAGGGAUCAUUAAUGAGUUGUCAUGGGGUUCGAUGCUGGCAGCCAAUUUUUGGAUGCAUGUGCUUGCCCUAACAAUCAUCUUCCAAACACCUGUGCACAUUUUUGAGGGAUUCUUGAGUUGGUUGCCGCUCUUGGGUGAUUUUCUCACAUUCCCUUAAAUCAUUAUACGCUAUUAACAAUGUUGAACGUGCUCUGUGCCGCAAGGCUAUUAAUAUAAUACAACUUUUAACAACGGAUCUCUUGGCUCUC